AAACUGUACAAACAACACGGCUCCAAAAGCUUACACUCAAAAUGAACACGCUCAUUAAGAGUGAAAGGAAGCCGCGGACAAGCAAACAAAACGACCAACAUCAAGCCAACGGCAAACAAGCCUGGCAAAAACACCUAAACAACCACCGAAAAGCCUAAGUCAAACUACAAUCAGAGGAAACGAAGAUAAUGGGUUCACAUCCCACGAGCGCAUCCGCCUGGUCCUGGGAGAGUCCUCAACAUUCUCAAA
Molecule: long non-coding RNA, 249 nt
Filed under: Eucalyptus grandis
Lineage: Eukaryota; Viridiplantae; Streptophyta; Magnoliopsida; Myrtales; Myrtaceae
Description: long non-coding RNA (EGRA_LNC007131)
Source: RNAcentral